AGGACGAACGCUGGCGGCGUGCUUAACACAUGCAAGUCGAACGAUGAAGCCUUUCGGGGUGGAUUAGUGGCGAACGGGUGAGUAACACGUGGGCAAUCUGCCCUGCACUCUGGGACAAGCCCUGGAAACGGGGUCUAAUACCGGAUAUUACCUGCCGAGGCAUCUUGGUGGGUGUAAAGCUCCGGCGGUGCAGGGAUGAGCCCGCGGCCUAUCAGCUUGUUGGUGGGGUGAUGGCCUACCAAGGCGACGACGGGUA
This 256-nucleotide ribosomal RNA is filed under the name uncultured bacterium. RNAcentral describes it as "partial small subunit ribosomal RNA". It matches the Rfam family "Bacterial small subunit ribosomal RNA", at positions 26 to 285 of the family's 1533-position model. The record is from RNAcentral.